RNAcentral lists this small nuclear RNA (107 nucleotides) under Carlito syrichta (Philippine tarsier). The record is from RNAcentral. Lineage: Eukaryota; Metazoa; Chordata; Mammalia; Primates; Tarsiidae.
GUGCUCACUUUGGCAGCACAUAUACUAAAAUUGGAACGAUACAGAGGAGAUUAGCAUGGCCCCUGCGUAAGGAUGACACACAAAUUCGUGAAGCAUUCCAUAUUUUU